GAUAGUUAAGCUUUUACUUUCUUAACUUUUCCCAUUCAUUCUCUAUGGUAGUUCUUAACACUACGGAUGCAAUAUGCUUUUGUCCACUACGCAUUUUGGCGCUGUUGCGCUGUUGAGCUGCUUUUUAAAAAUAUUGGCAGCCAUCUUUGAAUCAUUUGUUGUGGUCGGCGUUACUGAUGACAGAUAUCGGACUGACUUUUUACUCUCAGAAAGUUGCGUCUGUGUCCCCCUUUAGGUUUGAGCCCUCGUCCUCCCAACUGACCCUGUGGCUCUCCGCUGCAGCAGAACUGGCCCUUGAGUACCGCCAGAAGGGGACCACUACCUAAAAGAUCAAGAGGGUGGACAGGGUGUGCAUGGAGGCAAGGGACACAGUGGCACUGAAAGGAGGCGACCCCAGAGCGUGAUGUGCGCAGGCUGAUGGGUCGGGCGCCGAUAUAGCUGUGUGAGCUAAAUCAAAGGGUACUCUCCCAAUGGUCCGUCAGAACACAGAGGGAGACAGAGAGGACUGUGGUGGCACCUUGACCAGGCACUGCAGACGGGCUCAGCGGGGGCGACCCAGAACCCAGCAGCAUCGGCAACGUAUCGUUCAGCAGCAGUGGACCCACAGCCCAGCAGCAGUGGCGGUGUAUCGUCUGACAGCAGCGGCCGGUUCAGCAGUGGCGGUGUAUCGUCUGACAGCAGCCGACCCAGGGCCCAGCAGCAUCGGCAGUGUAUCGUACAACAUUAGCUGACCCAGGGCCCAGCAGCAUCAGCAGUGACAGCAGCGCACCCAGGAUCCAGCAGCAAUGACGCUGUAUCAGCAGCGGACCCAGGGCCACCAGCAGUGUCAGUGUAUCGCCCAGCAACAGCUGACCCAGGGCCAGCAGCAGUGUCUAACAGGCUUGUGCAAAAUUCCAGAAUGGAAUUGAAACUGGCUCUUAAAUUCCAAUUUAAUUCUUGAAUUUCACUUUCAAAUUCUUGAAUUUCACUUUCAAAUGAGGUAGCAAACAGGAAGCAGAAUUGCAAUUCGAAUUGUGCACAACCCUGGUGUCUGAGUGUAUCAUCCAGCAGCAGCCGACCCACACACACGCACACAGGCACACACACACACACUUUGCCUUCUUCAGCUGGUGUUCAUUUAGUCAUAGUAUGCUGUUCUCCAAUGUUCUGUAAUUUUUUGUAUCACUUAAUAUAAUCCUUAAUAUAGUCUUACCAUGUCAUUGUUUUUUUUAUAUUAUUGAUUGAAUGGACAUUAUUGUUUAUUUUCGCUUUUCCCCUCAUUUUCAUUACUUAUUUUAUUAGGCUAUUGAUUGAAUUGGCAUUGUUGUUUAGUAUUGUUAUUCUCCUUAUUAUAGUUUGACCAACAUUCUAAUCUGUUCCCUGUUAAAUUUAAAAUAUUAUGUUGUUUAUGUGUGUGUGUGUGUGUCGCUUUGGACAAAGGCGUCUGCAAAAUCCCAUAAC
Molecule: long non-coding RNA, 1440 nt
Organism: Alosa alosa (allis shad)
Lineage: Eukaryota; Metazoa; Chordata; Actinopteri; Clupeiformes; Clupeidae
Exons: 3
Source: RefSeq, a predicted model, not a curated record